This is a long non-coding RNA of Stylophora pistillata, 137 nucleotides long. Lineage: Eukaryota; Metazoa; Cnidaria; Anthozoa; Scleractinia; Pocilloporidae. The record is from RefSeq and is a predicted model, not a curated record.
GAAACCAGAUUAGUUGAAAUUAUGGAAGGGCUUUGUGAAGAUAGUGCUUCAGAGUGCCAUGCAAUGGUUGAAGAACAAGAAGAAACGUUAGAAGAAUGGUGGUUUACACACCAGUUUAAAAACGAUGAUAUGAAGAC